RNAcentral lists this ribosomal RNA (292 nucleotides) under uncultured eukaryote. RNAcentral describes it as "partial 18S ribosomal RNA". It matches the Rfam family "Eukaryotic small subunit ribosomal RNA", at positions 6 to 280 of the family's 1831-position model. The record is from RNAcentral.
GGUUGAUCCUGCCAGUAGCAUAUGCUUGUCUCAAAGAUUAAGCCAUGCAAGUCUAAGUACACACGGCCGGUACAGUGAAACUGCGAAUGGCUCAUUAAAUCAGUUAUGGUUCCUUUGAUCGCUCUCACGUUACUUGGAUAACUGUGGCAAUUCUAGAGCUAAUACAUGCAAACGAGCGCUGACCUCCGGGGAUGCGUGCAUUUAUCAGACCCAAAACCCAUGCGGGGUGCCUCUCGGGGUGCCCCGGCCGCUUUGGUGACUCUAGAUAACCUCGAGCCGAUCGCUGGCCCCC